CCUACGGGUGGCAGCAGUGGGGGAUAUUGCACAAUGGGGUAACCCCUGAUGCAGCAACGCCGCGUGAGUGAAGACGUAUUUCGGUGUGGAAAGCUCUAUCAGCCAGGGAGCGAAUGACGGUACCUGACUAAUAAGCGCCAGCUAACUACGUGCCAGCAGCCGCGGUAAUACGGAGGGGACGAGCGUUAUCCGGAGUUACGUGGUGUAAAGGGAGCGUAGACGGCUGGUCAAGUCUGAAGUGAAAGCCCGGGGCUUAACCCCGGAACGGCGUUGGAAACUGAGCAGCUAGAGUGCUGGAGAGGUAAGCGGAAUGCGUAGUGUAGCGGUGAAAUGCGUAGAUAUUGGGAGGAACACCAGUGGCGAAGGCGGCUUACUGGACAGUAACUGACGCUGAGGCUCGAAAGCGUGGGGAGCAAACAGGAUUAGAUACCCCAGUAGUC
RNAcentral lists this ribosomal RNA (440 nucleotides) under uncultured bacterium. RNAcentral describes it as "partial 16S ribosomal RNA". It matches the Rfam family "Bacterial small subunit ribosomal RNA", at positions 338 to 795 of the family's 1533-position model. The record is from RNAcentral.